Molecule: ribosomal RNA, 252 nt
Filed under: uncultured bacterium
Lineage: Bacteria
Description: partial 16S ribosomal RNA
Rfam family: Bacterial small subunit ribosomal RNA
Source: RNAcentral
UACGUAAGGACCGAGCGUUGUCCGGAAUCAUUGGGCGUAAAGGGUACGUAGGCGGUCUAGUAAGUUAGAAGUGAAAUCCUAUAGCUCAACUAUAGUAAGCUUUUAAAACUGCUCAUCUUGAGGUAUGGAAGGGAAAGUGGAAUUCCUAGUGUAGCGGUGAAAUGCGCAGAUAUUAGGAGGAAUACCGGUGGCGAAGGCGACUUACUGGGCUCAUUCUGACGCUGAGGAACGAAAGCGUGGGUAGCAAACAGG